GACGAACGCUGGCGGCGUGCCUAAUACAUGCAAGUCGAACGAACACAACCGGUGCUUGCACUGGUCACGCUAGUGGCGAACGGGUGAGUAACACGUGGGUAACCUGCCCAUCAGAGGGGGAUAACAUCGGGAAACGGGAGCUAAUACCGCAUAAGACUUUGAACCGCAUGGUUCGAUGAGGAAAAAAGGUGCAAGCUUCUGUUGAAGGAUGGUCCCGCGGUGCAUUAGCUAUUUGGUAAGGUAACGGCUUACCAAGCCAGCGAUGCAUAGCCGACCUGAGAGGGUGAUCGGCCACAUUGGGACUGAGACACGGCCCAAACUCCUACGGGAGGCAGCAGUAGGGAAUCUUCCGCAAUGGACGCAAGUCUGACGGAGCAACGCCGCGUGAGUGAUGAAGGUUUUCGGAUCGUAAAACUCUGUUGUUAGAGAAGAACAAGUGCGAGAGUAACUGUUAGCGCCUUGACGGUACCUAACCAGAAAGCCACGGCUAACUACGUG
This 498-nucleotide ribosomal RNA is filed under the name uncultured bacterium. RNAcentral describes it as "partial 16S ribosomal RNA". It matches the Rfam family "Bacterial small subunit ribosomal RNA", at positions 28 to 507 of the family's 1533-position model. The record is from RNAcentral.